ACGGGUAAGCGUGUUGCCCAGUGUGAGUUAUUUACAUCAGUUACUUGUGAUGCUGAUGACGUUACCUGGGAUGUUAUUUGCAGUUAUUCACAUCAGGAGUUACUUGUGGUGUACAUCCGUUCGUGUACGCUCUUCGCACACCGAGAGACCUGAGGAACCAGCUGCUGUGUGUGGCCUCCAGCAGACCGAUGGGCGGCGUCCCUCCAGUCUCUCCAGCCCUGGACUCUCAGAUGCAGAAGGGAGCCGCGGUUACCAUCAGCUCCGUCAUCCCUGGGGAAAGGCCCCCUUGCCUAUUUCGAACGGCUCUGCCGUUCUCAUCUCAACCCUGCUGUGAGGUCACAGGUUUGGAGGCCGGCAGAAGGAUCCCCAAGCAUUUCCCACUGUGAUCUCACAAUACUGGCUGCCGCCCUCGCCCUCCUGGCUCUGCCACAGGGAGCAAUUCCAGCUCCCGAGUCUGGAGGGAUGUCUUUGUGAAAUCUCUUGGCUCUUUAGACAUCAGGUCAGACACGAAGCUCUGCUGAGAACACUAUGCUGGUCUUGAUCGAGAGCACACGACUGGAGAAGUGGCUGGCUUUGCAUUUCUGCUUAUGACUUCCGUUCGUUACUGACACCCCACAUCGGCGGUGCGCGCCCGGCAAGCCGUGGCAGGCACCCGAGCCUGGGUUCACGAACGCAGAGAGGAGCCACAGGGACGGGACAGAGCGGAGAAAUGGGAAAGGGGGGGUUUGUCGGGAUGUCAACUGUUGACAUCUAAUUAAAACAACUUUCU
Herpailurus yagouaroundi (jaguarundi) is the source of this 769-nucleotide long non-coding RNA. RefSeq lists it as uncharacterized. The transcript is spliced from 2 exons. NCBI's taxonomy places the organism in Eukaryota, Metazoa, Chordata, Mammalia, Carnivora, Felidae. The record is from RefSeq and is a predicted model, not a curated record.